UUUUGUACUCACUGUGUGUUAAUAUUCGCUGUGCAUAACAGGAUGCUACUGUAUUACCUGCUCUACAGUGUUCUUCUGAUGUUACCUGCUUCAAUUGAUUUCAUCAAUAGGUUAGACUAUUUCGCCGGAAUAUUACUGCUGGUUUAAUCACAUUAUACCAACAAUGUCACCUCAAAUUCCCUGGUUAAACAUACUGUCAUUUGUCACAUAUGUUGUAUUGACGCAUGCUCGGUAUUCAGAGCUUCUAUAUGUCUUUGCUUUCUUCUGCCUAAAUACUUCUCCAAACAAAUUCCUUACCAAAACCAAACAAAAUAUUCCAUGUAAUAUAAUUACAGAUUCUUUCCAUUUGACCCAUAUGUAUUUGUAACUUAUUUCAUGUUGAAUUUGCGGAAAUUAUAUAUGCGUAAAUACUGACUUUAUUUCACAGGUAAUUGCCUGCAACUCAGCGCUACAAAUACCACUGAUACAGCAGAGUCUGCUGGCUUCACACCAACCUUCUCAGUAUCACCACCUUAAACGCUAGCCACUCCACCAGAUUCAGACACAUCGCAUACGUGAUCGCAGGUAGCUUCUAUGUUUUCUCCCAUCAUCUAUAUGCUGUUAUACAG
RNAcentral lists this long non-coding RNA (608 nucleotides) under Solanum tuberosum (potato). RNAcentral describes it as "long non-coding RNA (STUB_LNC000885)". The record is from RNAcentral. Lineage: Eukaryota; Viridiplantae; Streptophyta; Magnoliopsida; Solanales; Solanaceae.